Molecule: ribosomal RNA, 425 nt
Filed under: uncultured bacterium
Lineage: Bacteria
Description: partial 16S ribosomal RNA
Rfam family: Bacterial small subunit ribosomal RNA
Source: RNAcentral
GUGGGGAAUAUUGGACAAUGGGCGCAAGCCUGAUCCAGCCAUGCCGCGUGAGUGAUGAAGGCCUUAGGGUUGUAAAGCUCUUUCACCGGUGAAGAUAAUGACGGUAACCGGAGAAGAAGCCCCGGCUAACUUCGUGCCAGCAGCCGCGGUAAUACGAAGGGGGCUAGCGUUGGUCGGAAUUACUGGGCGUAAAGCGCACGUAGGCGGAUAUUUAAGUCAGGGGUGAAAUCCCAGAGCUCAACUCUGGAACUGCCUUUGAUACUGGGUAUCUCGAGUAUGGAAGAGGUAAGUGGAAUUCCGAGUGUAGAGGUGAAAUUCGUAGAUAUUCGGAGGAACACCAGUGGCGAAGGCGGCUUACUGGUCCAUUACUGACGCUGAGGUGCGAAAGCGUGGGGAGCAAACAGGAUUAGAAACCCUAGUAGUCC